AAAGCUAACGAUGUAGAAACUAAAAUUAGAACAAUACAGAGAAGAUUAGCAUGGCCUCCGUGUAAGAGAACACAUGAAAAUUUGUAAAGCAUUCCAUAUUUUU
Molecule: small nuclear RNA, 103 nt
Organism: Microtus oregoni (creeping vole)
Lineage: Eukaryota; Metazoa; Chordata; Mammalia; Rodentia; Cricetidae
Source: RefSeq, a predicted model, not a curated record